This 256-nucleotide long non-coding RNA is filed under the name Gossypium barbadense (sea-island cotton). RNAcentral describes it as "long non-coding RNA (GBAR_LNC002098)". Lineage: Eukaryota; Viridiplantae; Streptophyta; Magnoliopsida; Malvales; Malvaceae. The record is from RNAcentral.
GUCAAGGUUGAAAUUUAUUGGCAGCAAGGCUCGCAAUGAAUGGAUUAAUCAAAAUAACAAACAUUGCUAAAAUUAAAAACAAGUAAGAUGAAAUUAGGUGCCCUAAAUAUCGCAGCAUGAACUUUUUUACAAAAACUUUCUAAGGACCAUUUUAAGCCUGACAUGUGUUUAGGAGAUCUAGAGUACUUUGUUGAUGCCCCAAGAUGUAACGUUUCUCCUCCUUGUUAAUUCUAAGGGGACAAGACUACCACAUGCC